RNAcentral lists this ribosomal RNA (484 nucleotides) under uncultured bacterium. Its description in RNAcentral is "partial 16S ribosomal RNA". It matches the Rfam family "Bacterial small subunit ribosomal RNA", at positions 29 to 523 of the family's 1533-position model. The record is from RNAcentral.
AGUGAACGCUGGCGGCGUGCUUAACACAUGCAAGUCGAACGAGAACGGAUUAUAGCUUGCUAUAAUUGUCAGCUAAGUGGCGCACGGGUGAGUAAUGUAUAGGUAAUAUGCCUCUUACUAAGGGAUAACAAAUGGAAACAUUUGCCAAUACCUUAUACUCCUUAUUAACAGAAGUUAAUAAGGGAAAGAUUUAUUGGUAAGAGAUUAGCCUGUAUUGUAUCAGUUAGUUGGUGGGGUAAUGGCUUACCAAGACUAUGACACAUAACUGGUUUGAGAGGAUGAUCAGUCACACUGGAACUGAGACACGGUCCAGACUCCUACGGGAGGCAGCAGUGGGGAAUAUUGCACAAUGGACGGAAGUCUGAUGCAGCAACGCCGCGUGGAGGAUGACACAUUUCGGUGCGUAAACUCCUUUUAUAUGAGAAGAUAAUGACGGUAUUAUAUGAAUAAGCACCGGCUAACUCCGUGCCAGCCGCCGCCGUAA